This is a transfer RNA of 72 nucleotides. It matches the Rfam family "tRNA". Rfam says of the family: Transfer RNA (tRNA) molecules are approximately 80 nucleotides in length. Their secondary structure includes four short double-helical elements and three loops (D, anti-codon, and T loops).
CAGGGCGUGGCUGAGAUAGUUAAGCACCUCCCUUACACCGAGAAGACGUCCAUGCAACUUGGAUCGCCCUGA